This 433-nucleotide ribosomal RNA is filed under the name uncultured bacterium. RNAcentral describes it as "partial 16S ribosomal RNA". The stretch from base 72 to 433 matches the Rfam family "Bacterial small subunit ribosomal RNA", at positions 39 to 507 of the family's 1533-position model. The record is from RNAcentral.
GGGGGGGGGGGGGGGGGGGGGGGGGGGGUGGGGGGGGGAGGGGGCGGGCGGGUCGGGGGGCGCGGGGGGGGGUGGCGCGGGGGAGCCUGCGGGUGGGGGCGGGGUGACUCCGCGGAAGGGGUGCUGGUACCGGGUGAUGAGUUCGGACCGAGGAUGUAUCGCCUUUGGAUGGGCCCGCGUUGGAGUAGCUAGUUGGUAGGGUAAAAGCCUCCCAAGCCGACGAUCCAUAGCUGGUCUGAGAGGAUGAUCAGCCACACUGGGACUGAGACACGGCCCAGACUCCUACGGGAGGCAGCGGUGGGGAAUAUUGGACAAUGGGCGAAAGCCUGAUCCAGCGAUGCCGCGUGAGUGAUGAAGGCCUUAGGGUUGUAAAGCUCUUUUACCCGGGAUGAUAAUGACAGUAGCGGGAGAAUAAGCUCCGGCUAACUCCGUG